This is a long non-coding RNA of Beta vulgaris subsp. vulgaris (sugar beet), 930 nucleotides long. RefSeq lists it as uncharacterized. The transcript is spliced from 2 exons. NCBI's taxonomy places the organism in Eukaryota, Viridiplantae, Streptophyta, Magnoliopsida, Caryophyllales, Amaranthaceae. The record is from RefSeq and is a predicted model, not a curated record.
CACUUCUAUAGUAACUUAAAAUAAAAACAAAUGGAAAUAUUAAAGGUUUAGGGAGUUCGGCUGGGCUGGGGUGGGCGCUGCCAACGGGCUUUCAUGGUUUGGAUUAAAACAAUCAGCACGUCGCCCAUCCAACAAUUUAUCGGUUCUGGAUCGGAUUGUUCACGCGCAUAUGAAUAUACGGGCAUCCUUAACUUUUACGGGGAUGAAUGGGCCUCCUCAUACUGAAGUAUGAAGAACCACUAAAAAAUGGGCCUAACAACUCUAAAAGAAAGACAAACGUGGAAACACACAGCCCAGAAGUUAUAUUUUUUCCUUUUCCUCUUAUAAUUUUUAUUUCAAGACCACCCAACUCCAAUUCAGGACUUCCGAACUUUUCAUUUAGGAUCGAUCAAUAUAUCUCAGAUAAAAUUAAUCUCUUUUCAUGGCGAGCAAUCUGAGCCGUGGGAUCGCAUCAACGAUGAUCUCGAAUUACUGGGUGGAAUCGGUGACUCGGCAGGUACCGAAGUCAGUUACAAGUAUGAUGAUGUGCACUUGGUCAAAAAACAAAGAUGAAGUUUCAUCAGAAGAAUCCAUGGCAAAAAAUGAGAAAGAAGCGACAACAACUAAGAUAGUUGAGGAGAGAGAAAAUGUUGAUAACGAUGAUGACGAAGACGAUGAUGGAGUUCAUAUGAAUAAAGAAACGGGUGAGAUUGGUGGGCCCAGAGGUCCUGAGCCUACUCGUUAUGGUGAUUGGGAAAAGGGUGGUCGUUGUUCUGAUUUUUAAGUUUAUCAAUUUGUAUUUCCGAUGAUUUUAUUGAUGGUAUGUUUUGUUAAACUAAGAUUAUAUAGUUCGAUUAUGACGUUGAUGUAAGAGUUUUAGUUUAAUGUAGAAGAGUUUAAUCUAUAUAGAUAGAUACAUUAAUACAUAUCUUCAAUUAAGUUUGGAUUUUA